Molecule: long non-coding RNA, 4494 nt
Organism: Melopsittacus undulatus (budgerigar)
Lineage: Eukaryota; Metazoa; Chordata; Aves; Psittaciformes; Psittaculidae
Exons: 3
Source: RefSeq, a predicted model, not a curated record
UUUGAUUUGCAAGAGCUCGGAGGUCCCUUGAAGAGUUCCUCUAAAGCCUAUUGAGCUACAUACAGCCUUCAUGUUAUGUGUUUUCUCUCUGUAGGUCUGGGGCAUGCAAGGAGAGCUCAUUCCCAAGCAGGCAUCCCCCAGCCAUGUGAAUAGACUGCAGAGAGCUGACCACUGUUGAUCAGAAUGGAUCCUGUCAUUCAUGGACACAUCCUUCCUUGCAUUCGCAAACAGAUCCAUGCUUUUCUCAGACUUUGUCAUGGGAAUUGCUCAGGGGAAGCCAAUUCCCACAUUGCACUUUGUCUUCGGUUAGAAGCUUAACAAAUUCCAGUUAUGCAGCUUUGCUGCUGUCCCCAGCCUGCAGGAAUAUCACUGCCUCUGUUGGAGUUAUAAGCCCAAGGAUUAUGUUUCAUGUUACUGAGCCAUGACAGCAUGGAAAUGAACACAGAGAGAUACAAACACCAUCAAACCCACUUAACUUCAAAUCAGUUCUUGGCUAUUUCUACCACCAACACGGUUCCAGUGCUAGUAGAUGCUCUUCAAAUAUCAGUAAGUUUUGGCAGCUUCUCUUCAGCAAAAGGAGACAGGAUCUUUGGAAUACAGCUUUUUUUUCACCCAGAUCUUUUCAAGAAGUCUCCCCCUUCUGCUCAUUCUAGGAUUAAGAAGGUGACCAUGUGAUGACAAGUACAAGAUGAAGCAAUGGGAGGUGGACUCCAUGCCCAGCUCCACCACUGCCACAAGGCAUGACCAUGCCUCCAGCCCUCCAGCUGAUGAUGGGGCACUGCUGAAUGAUGCCCAUUCCUUGGCGUGCGAGUGAGCAGGCAGGGCACCCCAGCAGCAUGGAUUGUUCUGCACACAUUGUUAUGGAAAUUGCCUUAGAGACAGUUGUUCCAAUGUACAUUUUUAGAAGCUGAGUGAGCUUCGUGGCAGGAAAACCGCUCCAAGGGGAGGAAAACCACCCACCGGGCCCCCAGCACUGCCCCUUCCUCCAGCAACACGGUGCAGCCUUGCCGGCUCUCUUGUAGGAAUGGGGUUCAGGGUGUUUCUUUGCCUGGUAAGGCAGGGAGAAGGAUCCUCUGGAGGAGAAGCCCUUACAGCAUCAGUCUCCAAGGAAACCCUUGGGGCUGCGUGGCUCAGCCUCUGCCGCACACCCAGAGUUUGGGCAGUGGCUCACAUGUCCCAGACGUGUGCCUGAAUCCAUACUCCAUCUGUCAGAGGUACUUCAGUAGUGCAAACUGCUCCAGUUUAGGAAAAAUGUGGGGAUUUCCUACCCCUAGACGCCACUUUAUCUCGGAGAUGCUCAUGGUUGAUGUGCAGCACAAGUGAUGUCCUCCCCUGAGCUCGAGAGAAAUUAGCCCUAUCUCUGUUUUGAAUGCACAUUCCUCGCUGCUGAGUCUGAAAGGAGAAGCCUUUAAUGCUCCCACAACUCCAAGCUUCUCAAGAGCAUGCCUGGGAGCUGUGGUGGUUACCAGGAAGCUCGGGCAGCAGAUCUGCUGCCACCAGUCUGGUAGCAGUGCCCGAGCCAGAGUGAGUCACCUCCAGCUGUGGGCAAAGAGGGGCUGCCUUUGCCCACUGCAAGGCAGGAGGGGCAGAGGAGAGCAAGCAAGUUGCUACCUUAGAUGCUUUCAAAACAGCCAUCAGCACAGGCAGUUUCACUGCUCACCCCCAUUCAUACUGGAAUGCUCAGCCCUCGUCUCACCUUUGACCACACUGAGCUCUUUUCACCUCAAUUAUAAACACAGACAAGGUUUGCUUCUUUCAGGCUUUGCUGUGCUCAUCAUCACUGCCUGCUAUGGAGCAGGACCACACCUCCAGUCUGUGCCCAGGAGCUUCCUGCAGCCCCAGCUGAUGAAAGGGAAAAGCAUGGACUCAGUGACCUUUGUUUGCAUAACUGCUGCCCACAGCCCCUGCUUGACAUUCGAGGAGCUGAGGAAGGUGCAUGGUGAUGGGGGAAACCAAUGAACCUCAGUUGUUGUUGGCUGAGUAUCAGGGUGAGCUGUGGCUUGUCCUUUCUCUCUCUGGAAGUCCCAGUUGACUUGCAUGGUGGUGUCUCACCAGGAACCAAGGACAAAGAACCUCCUUCCAUCUCCUCCCUGGCCAGGCAGAGAGUUUGGCCAUAGUCUGUAUAUUCCCAAGACCAUUUUGUUGCCCACAGCAGCAAUGGAGUGGGGUGCUUGGCUGUUUGGGAUGGUGUGUUGAUCACUGCUGGUGUCAUGGGAUGGGGUGAGAGCUGGAAAGGGACCUUGUUGUCAAAACAGGGAUGCUGGGAGUCACAAGGUGGUGGCUUGGUAAAUGGUGGAAGGGUAAUUCUUUGUGUUUUAUAUUCUGAGCCAUUUAAGCUUAUUUUACCUGCCUUGCUAGUUUAUCUACUGCACUUGCAAUGGUUGGAAGUGUCCUUUUAUUUUGUUUUCUUUCCUUUCAAUAUGAAAACUCAGCUUUUGGAGUUAGGAAGCAGAAGCUUGGCCACAGAAACUUACAGCCCUGGGCUGUGCCUGACCAGCAAAGUGAGAUGCCUUCGCUGGACACCUGGCUGCUUUAGCAACAGAUAGCAGUGAAGGGCACUUUAAUAUUUAUCCUGAGCUAAAAAAACAAGUAGAACAGAGAAAAAUACACAAAGUAGGCCAUGAAAACAGAGUUUGUGAACAUCUGAGAUCCGCUCCUAAUUAAUAGCAGUUCCCAUCCCAGAAAUCAUGCCAUUCAGCAAAAGUUAAUCAUCUUUGCUCAUACAUACAAUACACUUCAAGAGAGAAUGAGUCACCCUCAUUGAAAUGUCUGAUGUUAUGAAAUCCAGUGUGACUGAUGUAACAGACCCGGCUCAGCUCUCCAAAUUGGCCGGGAGCACCAACAGCGAAGCACAGCCCGUGUGUAACUUGAUUUCAGUGAGUUCUGCUUGUUUGUAUGCGGCUGGAUUCCAUCCUUAGUUACCAAAACAGCCUCACAACGGAGGUCCGGACAGGCUGAGGGUGGGCAGGUGAGUGGUUGGUGUCACCAGGCCCCGGUGGUCCUCACCAGGGAGGAGCCCAUGGAGCCCAUCCCCACCUCUGGAGGAGCCCAUGGAGCAGCUCUGCACAGAGGCCCUGAUCCUGCCAAUGUCUGAGCACAUGCGGAAUUCCCAGCUCCGUUGGGGUGCCAGGAACCAGCACUUCAAUCACAGCACUCUGUGUGUUUAACUAUUCACAGGCCCCGGGAUUGACUCUUCGUUCCUUGGUUCAGGGAGGAAUGUAGGUUGAAUUCAGCAUUAAGAUUCUGCCUUGAUAUUGGAUGUUACCUCUUAAAUUAAAUACUAUUACCUGCAGCCACUUCCCUUUGGCACUGGAGCCAUUCGCUUGGUGUUACUUUGGUUAAAUGUCACCAUAUGAAUUACUGAAAGUAAUUUAAAUAUUUAAAGACAUCUAUUGCAAGCCUAAUUUUAUUUGCAACUCCCGAGCCAGACUCGCAGCUGAUGCAGCAGAUAACAGCUCAGCCCUGCACCCCUGGGCCCUCUCCCAGCUCUUUAAAUACAUCAUUUGCAUUUCCAACACCUUUCACCCAACAAGUCUGGGCUCUGAGAUAGUCCUUUUUUACUGUCACAUUUUCUUCUAUCUUUGAGGCCUUACAGCCCUUCUACGGUGGGUGCGAGUCCCUUGGCGGGUUCUUCUCCUAUCCAUCCAUCCAUCCUUGGCUGCCCUUCUGGGACAUCUACCCUAUAGGGCAAACUCUGGGAGAUCUAACAUCAGAAAUGCCAGGCCCCCAGCAGGCUCCCAGCUCACAUUUCAUGUUUUCCAAGUAGAGAAGAUCCUCCUCCCUGGACAACCUUUUCAUUUCUUGUUAUCUUUAUGAACAGCUAUAAAAAAAAGUAUCAUUUCUGGCACAUUGGCCAUGCUGCUGAAAAGCUGUUCCUCUUCCACCUCCUCCUUCACCCACUCAGAUGAAAAACUACAGGUAAUGUUGGGGAGUAAAUGAAAGGCUUUCCAUGGGGAAAUCAGCUAAAAUAGUAAACAAAAGGCUAAUUCUUAAAAGCAAAACAGCUGAAGAUGUUACCAGGAAAUCACAGUGAUGAAACACUCCUGGUCCUCGGAAAUUGCCUUAUAUGCUCUUGGAAAUUACCUCCUGACUCAACUGCCUUAAUGUGCCUGACGCCACUUUGCCAGUAGCUUUUACUUGUCCUGAAUACCCAUGGUUGACAAGGAAAUAAAAUUUCCCAUGAGAAAUGCCACCACUUAGACCAAACCUCCCCUGGUUUUCCUGGGAAAGACUUGGGUUAGGUGUGUGCUGUGAUUCCUCCAGCUCCUGGAAGCAGCCUACCCCAAUGAGCUGUGCUCCCACCACUGUGUCCUCAUGAGCAGUUGGUUUGCAGGGCCAGGGCUGACCCCCUGCAUGCUGAGCUGUGUGGGAUCAAAGCUGGUCACCCCUCUGCCUGCCAUCUCAGUUUCCCUAAUGCAAGGCCCCAGUUGCCUUUUAAUCCUGUUGCAGGUAUGUCCCAGAGCACUCAUCUUGCAGGAUGCUCUCUGGAGAUGA